This 653-nucleotide ribosomal RNA is filed under the name Escherichia coli. RNAcentral's name for it is "partial 23S ribosomal RNA". It matches the Rfam family "Bacterial large subunit ribosomal RNA", at positions 598 to 1251 of the family's 2925-position model. The record is from RNAcentral. Lineage: Bacteria; Pseudomonadati; Pseudomonadota; Gammaproteobacteria; Enterobacterales; Enterobacteriaceae.
UGCGUACCUUUUGUAUAAUGGGUCAGCGACUUAUAUUCUGUAGCAAGGUUAACCGAAUAGGGGAGUCGAAGGGAAACCGAGUCUUAACUGGGCGUUAAGUUGCAGGGUAUAGACCCGAAACCCGGUGAUCUAGCCAUGGGCAGGUUGAAGGUUGGGUAACACUAACUGGAGGACCGAACCGACUAAUGUUGAAAAAUUAGCGGAUGACUUGUGGCUGGGGGUGAAAGGCCAAUCAAACCGGGAGAUAGCUGGUUCUCCCCGAAAGCUAUUUAGGUAGCGCCUCGUGAAUUCAUCUCCGGGGGUAGAGCACUGUUUCGGCAAGGGGGUCAUCCCGACUUACCAACCCGAUGCAAACUGCGAAUACCGGAGAAUGUUAUCACGGGAGACACACGGCGGGUGCUAACGUCCGUCGUGAAGAGGGAAACAACCCAGACCGCCAGCUAAGGUCCCAAAGUCAUGGUUAAGUGGGAAACGAUGUGGGAAGGCCCAGACAGCCAGGAUGUUGGCUUAGAAGCAGCCAUCAUUUAAAGAAAGCGUAAUAGCUCACUGGUCGAGUCGGCCUGCGCGGAAGAUGUAACGGGGCUAAACCAUGCACCGAAGCUGCGGCAGCGACGCUGAUGCGUUGUUGGGUAGGGGAGCGUUCUGUAAGCCUG